This 928-nucleotide ribosomal RNA is filed under the name uncultured methanogenic archaeon. RNAcentral's name for it is "bacterial SSU rRNA". It matches the Rfam family "Archaeal small subunit ribosomal RNA", at positions 1 to 942 of the family's 1478-position model. Lineage: Archaea; Methanobacteriati; Methanobacteriota. The record is from RNAcentral.
UUUCCGGUUGAUCCUGCCAGAGGCUACUGCUAUCGGGGUCCGACUAAGCCAUGCGAGUUGAGAGGGGUAAGCCCUCGGCAUAUUGCUCAGUAACACGCGGAUAACCUGCCCUUGGGUUUGGGAUAACCCCGGGAAACUGGGACUAAUACCGGAUAGACCAAAGAUACUGGAAUGUUCUUUGGUCGAAAGCUCCGGCGCCCAAGGAUGGGUCUGCGGCCCAUCAGGUAGUAGUGGGUGUAACGUACCUACUAGCCUACGACGGGUAAGGGUUGUGAGAGCAAGAGCCCUGAGAUGGAUUCUGAGACAUGAAUCCAGGCCCUACGGGGUGCAGCAGGCGCGAAAACUUUACACUGCGGGAAACCGCGAUAAGGGGACCCCGAGUGCCAGCACCUAGUGCUGGCUGUCCAGCUGUUCAAAAAACAGCUGUUAGCAAGGGCCGGGCAAGACCGGUGCCAGCCGCCGCGGUAACACCGGCGGCCCGAGUGGUAGCCGUUAUUAUUGGAUUUAAAGGGUCCGUAGCCGGCCUAUUAAGUCUCUUGGGAAAUCUGGCGACUCAAUCGUCAUGCGUUCAAGAGAUACUGUUAGGCUUGGGACCGGGAGAGGUGGGAGGUACUCCAGGGGUAGGGGUGAAAUCUCGUAAUCCUUGGGGGACCACCGAUGGCGAAGGCAUCCCACCAGAACGGGUCCGACGGUGAGGGACGAAAGCUGGGGGCACGAACCGGAUUAGAUACCCGGGUAGUCCCAGCCGUAAACGAUGCUCGCUAGGUGUCAGGUGCGGUGCGACCCGCAUCUGGUGCCGCAGUGAAACUUGAAGCGAGUCACCUGGGAAGUACGGUCGCAAGGCUGAACUUAAGGAAUGGCGGGGAACCCUACACGGGUGGAGCCUGCGGUCAAUGGAUUCACGCCGAAAGCUUACGGGGUCGAACAG